RNAcentral lists this ribosomal RNA (253 nucleotides) under uncultured bacterium. RNAcentral describes it as "partial 16S ribosomal RNA". It matches the Rfam family "Bacterial small subunit ribosomal RNA", at positions 524 to 776 of the family's 1533-position model. The record is from RNAcentral.
UACGAAGGGGGCUAGCGUUGUUCGGAAUUACUGGGCGUAAAGCGCACGUAGGCGGACAUUUAAGUCAGGGGUGAAAUCCCGGAGCUCAACUCCGGAACUGCCUUUGAUACUGGGUGUCUUGAGUGUGGAAGAGGUGAGUGGAAUUCCGAGUGUAGAGGUGAAAUUCGUAGAUAUUCGGAGGAACACCAGUGGCGAAGGCGGCUCACUGGGCCAUUACUGACGCUGAGGUGCGAAAGCGUGGGGAGCAAACAGG